Molecule: ribosomal RNA, 258 nt
Filed under: uncultured bacterium
Lineage: Bacteria
Description: partial 16S ribosomal RNA
Rfam family: Bacterial small subunit ribosomal RNA
Source: RNAcentral
UACGUAGGCAGCAAGCGUUGUUCGGAAUUACUGGGCGUAAAGAGUGUGUAGGCGGUGCUCUAAGUUCGGUGUGAAAUCUCCCGGCUCAACUGGGAGGGUGCGCCGGAAACUGGAGUGCUGGAGCGCGGGAGAGGGAAAGCGGAAGUUCCUGGUGUAGCGGUGAAAUGCGUAGAUAUCAGGAGGAACACCCGGCGGUGUAGACGGCUUUCUGGACCGUAGCCUGACGCUGAGACACGAAAGACGUGGGUAGCAAACAGG